AAUUAUAUUUUAUUAUUAUUUGCAUUUUCCACAAAUUAAAAACAAAAUGAAUUCCAAAUCAAAUCAUGCAGCAUAUGAUGCAGCUGAAAGUCAUCGUAAAAUAUUUAUUGGUGGAUUAAGUGUUACAACAACUGAUGAUACAUUGCGCGAGUUUUAUACUCAAUGGGGUGAAGUUAUUGAUUGUAUUGUUAUGAAGGAUCCUCAAACGAAAAAAUCACGUGGAUUUGGUUUUAUAACCUAUAAGGAACCUGAAGGUGUUGAUCAGGCUAUGCAAUCUAGACCUCAUAAUAUUGAUGGAAGGGAUGUUGAUCCUAAAAGAGCUGUGCCACGAGGAGAGUCUGGGAAAAAUGAGAUGUUAGUAACAUCAACUAAAUUAUAUGUUGGAGGUGUCAAAGAUGGUGUACCAAUUGAAGUUGAAGAUUUAAAAAAUCAUUUUUCACAAUAUGGAAAAAUAUUAGAAUGUGAUAUUAAACUUGAUAGUAGUGGCAAAAAAAGAGGUUUUGCUUUUAUUGCCUUUGAUGAUUAUGAUGCUGUUGACAAGGCUGUUUUACAUAAGCCCCAUAUAAUUAAUAAUGUUAAAUUAGCUGUAAAUAAAGCUAUGUCCAAAGAUGAAAGAAAUAAAAUGACAUUCUCAAAGAAUAAUAAUGCUCCUAAUAUGCCUAUGAAUAAUCGUAGACAAAGAAAUGAACCUAAUUUUUUUGAUGAUUUUGAUUACAAUUUUCAAAAUAUGAUGUUUGGUAAUGGUUUUAAUAUGGGAGGUCCUAUGAAUGGAAUGGGACCAAUGAAUCCUAUGAUGAUGGGUAUGGGAAAUAUGGGUUUAUUAGGUGAAGGUCCAAAUAACCCUAUGCCUUUAAUGGGAGGUUUUGAUAAUUUUAACUAUGACAAUAGUUUUGGUGGUGGACCAAUGAGAAACCCACGAUUUAACAACAACAAUAUGAAAAAUAAUAAUCGUCCUUAUAACACAGGAAAUGGAUAUAAGAACAAAGGUGGUUUUGGUGGUAAUAAAGGAAACAAUUCUAACUCAUCCCGCUUUUAAAAUUCUGAUCCUCUUUUUAUUCAUGGUUUAGUGAACGCUUGUGAUGAAAAACGAGAUGAUAUGCACGCAUACGAUAUAAAAACCACGAUAAUCUUGAUGAAGAACAGAUAUGUCAACAUUAUUUUAAAUAAUAUUUUCCAUACUAUCAACUGUACAACAGACGAUCUUACUAAAUUAAUUGUUAAUAACAAUUUUGAAACAUAACGAGGAAACAAGAUACGAUAAGGAUAACGAGUUUGCGCUAAAUUAAAAACGAUUUGACAAACAUACGUAGAUCAAAAAACGAUUAAAACAAACGAAAGACCUAUUCAACAACAACAAUGGCAAAAACGUUAAACAACGGAUUGGAAAAAGCUUAACGAUAUCUGCUCACUUCAAAUUAUUUAGAGAAAAUUUUAAUAAUAUUAAAAUAUUUAGUUAUAUUUGAGAAUCAUUUGUUGAAAACUUUUAUAAAUAAUUAAUUUAGAUUAUUCACAAAUUCAAUUUUAUAUUAAUUGACUGAGAAUGUAAGUUAACCUUGUAUUAUUUAUUAACUAAUAUAUUUAGAAGAUUGUGAGAAGAAGACAAUUAAUAUUAUUAUUAUAUAGAACCAUUUAAUAUUAUAGGGUAAUAAUUAAAAAGUUUUUUUGAAUUUACAUCAAUCCUAAAUACUUGAAAUCUAAUAAGUAUGUUGAGCGUACAAGUACGUGCGGCUUGCCCACAAACGUGUGGAGGGCUCCUCAUAUUUUAUUUUUAAUUAAUACACAAAUUAACUUUGUUCCAAUUAGAUGGAAAUGAGGAAAACCUAGCGUAGCUCUGUUGAUACUCCACGUUAGAGGGCAUAUGCGCUAUAUAAUAUAUCACGUAUCACGUAAUAAGUUUUUCAUUUUAUUGAGGCUAGGCGCUUAAUCACGUAAUUAUAUGAUUGUUAUUAAAAAAUUUAAUUUAUUGAAUCUAAGUGAUCACAUUGCUACAAAUAAAUCACUACUAAAAACAUUAGCUUUCCGAAAACAGAGGAGAAAAAGACAAAAUAUAAAUUUCACACAAUCUGCAAUGAAAGAGGGAGCGCCGAUCUUAUAAAUUAAUGUCAUUCAAAUGAAUAUAUGUCAUUUUCAAAUCUUAUCGUAAAUUAUGCCAAUUGAUUCGAAAACAUUAAAUACAUUAAAAAUCAAAUCAGGAGUUGUAAAGAGAUAUGCAAAUGAUAUCAAGAUGUAUAAAUAUGAAAUUGAAAAGCAAUCGCAAAAAAUAAAAACUAUGAAAAGUAAUAAUGAUGAUGAGUAUGAUAUAAGAAAACAAGAAGAAGUUUUGCAAGAAUCGGUAUCUAUGAUAUCACGAUCUAAAUACAAUUUUAUUAAUGCCUAUGAUGAUUUGAACAAUAUAAUGUCAAAUGUUGACAAAGAUACUCAGUCAGAAGAAUAUAUCAAUGCAGAAAAAAUAUUAACUGAUUUUUUAAUAAUUAAAAAUGAAAUAAAAUGUUAAUCAUUUUAGUUAUUUGUUUUAUGACAUAGUAUU
RNA transcript from Gordionus sp. m RMFG-2023, 2527 nucleotides. It is a transcript of the gene named heterogeneous nuclear ribonucleoprotein A1-like, with no coding region annotated. The transcript has 14 exons. NCBI's taxonomy places the organism in Eukaryota, Metazoa, Nematomorpha, Gordioida, Chordodea, Parachordodidae. The record is from RefSeq and is a predicted model, not a curated record.